Molecule: long non-coding RNA, 1214 nt
Organism: Scylla paramamosain (green mud crab)
Lineage: Eukaryota; Metazoa; Arthropoda; Malacostraca; Decapoda; Portunidae
Exons: 2
Source: RefSeq, a predicted model, not a curated record
GAUCCUGUUGGCGAUUCUUUCAGAAAUAAGAGUGAUAACCAAAGUAAUAUGAUUUGCAACCAAAAUAUUCAUGUUGAACAAUUGAUGACCUAUAAAUAUAUAUACUCGUAGACUUUGUCAGUAACAAAGAAAUGUUUUAUUCGCAUGUGAAUUGUUCCUUUCAAAAAAUGAGGAAUCGUUAUCGGUGACAAUUUUUUAUUUUUUUUAUUUACAUUGAACUAAUGGCAGACUGCUGCACACGGCUGACAAACAUCAUAUUUUCAGGAUGUCGUUGUAAUUAAUGAUCAAAUAUGUAGUGACGUCACCUAGCGUUUACAUUUACCGCACAAAGUAUGAAGCAGAUUAGAAGCAGACCAUUAGUGUAUUUGUUUUGAUAAUGGAAAUCCCUUAUUUUGUUGUUAAUUGGUUAUCUGUUGAGAAAAAAAACACUUAAUCAGAUAAAACACCUAUCACAGUUUUUCAUCUAUUAUAACUGGUACUCAGGAUCUGUUAUCACUCUACUUGCAUGUACCCUGCCACACGGUGCGGCUAAACAGGAAUCCCCAGACUCACCAGCGCCACGGAAGGCCGUAAAGGAAAAGAAGGAGAGAGAUAGGAAGAAGAGGAGAAGGAAGAGGAAGAUCGGACUCUUAGAACUUGACGAAAGAAACGAAAGAACAGCAUCAUGAUCAACUCAAACAAACAAAAAAGCAGGAGAGAGGGAGGCACCGCGUCUCUCAGAACACUCAGUACUCACCCCAGCGUUGGAGAUGUUGAGCACUACCACCGUGAGGAGCACCAACCAUCGCUGCUUGUACACGCGGUAGGUGGUGUUGGCUGGGGGAUGGGGCGUGGACCUUUCUAGUGGACUGCCGCCACGCCCUCCCUCCUCCUGCAGCGCUGCACCGCCCACCAUCACCCCGACGCUCUCCUCACUCGUGCUGUCUCCACUCAUGCUUCCCAUAUCUGUGACGAGACGACUCAUGGACAAAGUAUAUUGUUCCGGCGUGCCCUUUGUUUAACAUUAUUCACAAUGACUGUGUUAUCAGAGGCGAUAGGAGGGAGAGGUGUGUGCUGCAAGAUAUGUCUGUUAGGGUCACAUUGGACCUUCAGGGGUAACAAGAUGAAAGCACCGUGGAUGUUACUUAUCACCUGAAGCGAAACGUAAGGUUAUAAUAUAUGUAUAGUGUAUAAUUACGAGUAUAUAUGUGCUUACGUAUAAAGAGGCAUCAUCA